AUACGUAGGGGGCGAGCGUUGUCCGGCUUUAUUGGGCGUAAAGGGUGCGUAGGCGGCCUUGUAAGUCAGAUGUGAAAGAUAAUGGCUUAACUGUGGUAAGCAUUUGCAACUGCAGGGCUUGAGUACAGGAGAGGAGAGUGGAAUUCCUAGUGUAGCGGUGAAAUGCGUAGAUAUAAGGAGGAAUACCAGUGGCGAAGGCGACUCUCUGGACUGAUACUGACGCUGAGGCACGAAAGCGUGGGGAGCAAACAGGAUUAGAUACCCUGGUGGUCCACGCUAUAAACGAUGAGUGCUAGGUGUCGGGGGUCAAACCUCGGUGCCGCAGUUAACACAUUAAGCACUCCGCCUGGGGAGUACGGCCGCAAGGCUGAAACUCAAAGGAAUUGGCGGGG
Molecule: ribosomal RNA, 392 nt
Filed under: uncultured bacterium
Lineage: Bacteria
Description: partial 16S ribosomal RNA
Rfam family: Bacterial small subunit ribosomal RNA
Source: RNAcentral